RNAcentral lists this long non-coding RNA (632 nucleotides) under Cyanistes caeruleus (blue tit). Its description in RNAcentral is "lncRNA (ENSCCEG00000017111.1)". The record is from RNAcentral. Lineage: Eukaryota; Metazoa; Chordata; Aves; Passeriformes; Paridae.
AUAAAACUGUGAAUUUGACUGAAGUCCAGAUGAAAAGCAAUCUACCUCCAGCUACAGGAAGGAGUCCUGUUUGUUUUCCAGCAGCAGCAGACUGCAGCAGAAGGUAAUUUUAUCCUCAGCAUUUAGUACAGCUACGGCACAUCUCACAAAAGAAAUCCAGAAUCGGCUCUGAUCAUCCUUAAACUAGCAGGAUCUGAGUCAUAUCCCGGUCUGGAAGGAGGAGUGGGAUAUGUUCAAAAAUGGGACUGAAUGACACACAUCAGGAGAAAAUCAUUUCACUGGAAGGAGAAGAACAGCUUGUCUGUCUUGAGUUAAGCCAUCACUGCAGUGAUUUGGAAUGGUAAAUGCAGGAACAUUCCGUGGAUAUAGCUGUGAGCUGACUGAACAAUUAUUCUGUAGUCAACCCCAAAAUUACACACAUGGGAACAUGCAUGUGUGUGUAAGCUGUGAAUUCCUCGUGGUGUGAGGAGGCAUCAUGGGUGUUAUGUUCACCUACACCAGUCAUCAGCCAAGCCAGCCAUGAUACAAAGCAAACAAUAUCAGUUCAACCUAGAUUGAAAUUAAAAAAAGCUAAUUGUAAAGCUAUCCAUGUUAAAAAUAAAUAAAAUAAAAGAUGAAUGUGUGGCUCUGUG